GGGGGACAACAUUUGGAAACGAAUGCUAAUACCGCAUAAAAACUUUAAACACAAGUUUUAAGUUUGAAAGAUGCAAUUGCAUUACUCAAAGAUGAUCCCGCGUUGUAUUAGCUAGUUGGUGAGGUAAAGGCUCACCAAGGCGAUGAUACAUAGCCGACCUGAGAGGGUGAUCGGCCACAUUGGGACUGAGACACGGCCCAAACUCCUACGGGAGGCAGCAGUAGGGAAUCUUCGGCAAUGGACGAAAGUCUGACCGAGCAACGCCGCGUGAGUGAAGAAGGUUUUCGGAUCGUAAAACUCUAUUGGUAGAGAAGAACGUUGGUGAGAGUGGAAAGCUCAUCAAGUGACGGUAACUACCCAGAAAGGGACGGCUAACUACGUGCCAGCAGCCGCGGUAAUACGUAGGUCCCGAGCGUUGUCCGGAUUUAUUGGGCGUAAAGCGAGCGCAGGUGGUUUAUUAAGUCUGGUGUAAAAGGCAGUGGCUCAACCAUUGUAUGCAUUGGAAACUGGUAGACUUGAGUGCAGGAGAGGAGAGUGGAAUUCCAUGUGUAGCGGUGAAAUGCGUAGAUAUAUGGAGGAACACCGGUGGCGAAAGCGGCUCUCUGGCCUGUAACUGACACUGAGGCUCGAAAGCGUGGGGAGCAAACAGGAUUAGAUACCCUGGUAGUCCACGCCGUAAACGAUGAGUGCUAGAUGUAGGAGCUAUAAGUUCUCUGUAUCGCAGCUAACGCAAUAAAUCA
Molecule: ribosomal RNA, 740 nt
Filed under: Lactococcus lactis
Lineage: Bacteria; Bacillati; Bacillota; Bacilli; Lactobacillales; Streptococcaceae
Description: bacterial SSU rRNA
Rfam family: Bacterial small subunit ribosomal RNA
Source: RNAcentral